GCACAACACUGUACAGGUUGCUAGCAUACUGCACAACACUGUAGACAGGUUGCCAGCAUACUGCACAACACUGUAGACAGGUUGCUAGCAUACUGCACAACACUGUAGACAGGUUGCCAGCAUACUGCACAACACUGUAGACAGGUUGCUAGCAUACUGCACAACACUGUAGACAGGUUGCUAGGAUACUGCACAACACUGUAGACAGGUUGCUAGCAUACUGCACAA
Long non-coding RNA from Oncorhynchus keta (chum salmon), 228 nucleotides. RefSeq lists it as uncharacterized. Lineage: Eukaryota; Metazoa; Chordata; Actinopteri; Salmoniformes; Salmonidae. The transcript has 4 exons. The record is from RefSeq and is a predicted model, not a curated record.